UACAGAGGGGGCAAGCGUUGUUCGGAAUUACUGGGCGUAAAGGGCGCGUAGGCGGCCUUCUAAGUCGGAUGUGAAAUCCCCGGGCUCAACCCGGGAACUGCGUCCGAGACUGAAAGGCUUGAAUCCGGGAGAGGGAUGUGGAAUUCCAGGUGUAGCGGUGAAAUGCGUAGAUAUCUGGAGGAACAUCGGUGGCGAAGGCGGCAUCCUGGACCGGUAUUGACGCUGAGGCGCGAAAGCCAGGGGAGCAAACGGG
Molecule: ribosomal RNA, 253 nt
Filed under: uncultured bacterium
Lineage: Bacteria
Description: partial 16S ribosomal RNA
Rfam family: Bacterial small subunit ribosomal RNA
Source: RNAcentral